AGGAUAAUAGUUUAUAAACCAAAAACAUUUAACUUGCACUUAAAAAAACUAAAAUUUUUAGUUAUCUUA
RNAcentral lists this transfer RNA (69 nucleotides) under Ips typographus. Its description in RNAcentral is "tRNA-Ala". The record is from RNAcentral. Lineage: Eukaryota; Metazoa; Arthropoda; Insecta; Coleoptera; Curculionidae.